UGGUGGAGUGAUUUGUUUGGUUAAUUCCGAUAACGAACGAGACCUUAACCUGCUAAAUAGACCGGUCGGCUUUUGCUGGCCGCUGUCUUCUUAGAGGGACUAACAGCGUUUAGCUGUUGGAAGUUUGAGGCAAUAACA
This 138-nucleotide ribosomal RNA is filed under the name uncultured eukaryote. RNAcentral's name for it is "partial 18S ribosomal RNA". It matches the Rfam family "Eukaryotic small subunit ribosomal RNA", at positions 1299 to 1458 of the family's 1831-position model. The record is from RNAcentral.